RNAcentral lists this ribosomal RNA (578 nucleotides) under uncultured Allobrachymonas sp. RNAcentral's name for it is "bacterial SSU rRNA". It matches the Rfam family "Bacterial small subunit ribosomal RNA", at positions 8 to 576 of the family's 1533-position model. The record is from RNAcentral. Lineage: Bacteria; Pseudomonadati; Pseudomonadota; Betaproteobacteria; Burkholderiales; Comamonadaceae.
AGAGUUUGAUCCUGGCUCAGAUCCCCAAUUGCUGGCGGCAUGCCUUACACAUGCAAGUCGAACGGCAGCACGGACUUCGGUCUGGUGGCGAGUGGCGAACGGGUGAGUAAAGCAUCGGAACGUGCCCGAUCGUGGGGGAUAACGCAGCGAAAGCUGCGCUAAUACCGCAUAAGAUCUACGGAUGAAAGCGGGGGACUCGCAAGAGCCUCGCGCGAACGGAGCGGCCGAUGUCAGAUUAGGUAGUUGGUGGGGUAAAGGCCCACCAAGCCGACGAUCUGUAGCUGGUCUGAGAGGACGACCAGCCACACUGGGACUGAGACACGGCCCAGACUCCUACGGGAGGCAGCAGUGGGGAAUUUUGGACAAUGGGCGCAAGCCUGAUCCAGCCAUGCCGCGUGCAGGAAGAAGGCCUUCGGGUUGUAAACUGCUUUUGUACGGAGCGAAAAAGCCACCAUUAAUACUGGGGGCUCAUGACGGUACCGUAAGAAUAAGCACCGGCUAACUACGUGCCAGCAGCCGCGGUAAUACGUAGGGUGCAAGCGUUAAUCGGAAUUACUGGGCGUAAAGCGUGCGCAGGC